AAGAACGCAGCAACUGUGCGUCAUCGUGUGAACUGCAGGACACAUGAACA
RNAcentral lists this ribosomal RNA (50 nucleotides) under Drosophila sechellia. RNAcentral describes it as "5.8S ribosomal RNA". The record is from RNAcentral. Lineage: Eukaryota; Metazoa; Arthropoda; Insecta; Diptera; Drosophilidae.